RNAcentral lists this non-coding RNA (32 nucleotides) under Rattus norvegicus (Norway rat). The record is from RNAcentral. Lineage: Eukaryota; Metazoa; Chordata; Mammalia; Rodentia; Muridae.
UGCACCCAUAGAUCCACUGCUCAUGUGCAGAU